CUUCUGCUGCUCUGCAUGCUCUGCUCUUUUCAUGUGAAGAAAGCCAAGGUUAGAGGGCCACCCCCAACAAUUUCGAAGUCCUCUUCUCUUCGCCACCUUCUUCCUGAGAAGAGUCGAGAGAUAUGGUGCCUGGUGAUUCAUCAUCUCCUCUUGUAACACUGCCAUGAGUGAAGUGCUGGCAGCAAUUACAGUGAGGGUGACUUCGAAGGCGACUCCUCGAUCGUCUACUUAAUUUAGUACGUUCUUGGCAAUUAAUAUGCAGUGGACAUCUCCUCCUCGUUAGGUUCUUGACAUUACAUUCAUUUCCCUUCACCCACCGCUCCCACAACCUUACGUCUGUAAUUUCUUCUCACUUGGGUCGUUUUACAGCUUGAAUGGAUGAUGGAGAAGAAGAGUGAUGUAUUUACUUCUUGUUUGUCGCUUCCUGAAUUUGAAUGAUCUCCUGACGGUUGAGUUCCAGCAAAAUUAUUUUUGUGCAGUAGUCCUUUUCAACUCGCCUGACACGGAAUCUUAUGGUCGAAUGAUCUUCCUCACUUUCUUCCCCUUUGGUUCUUCGUUCAAAGAAGAAAAAAGAGAGAGAGAGAAAAAAAAGAAAAGAAAAAAAGACGUGCUGCCAAUUGUCUUUAGCCUUUCUGUUCAAGAAAACCCAAAUACAGUGACGGCGUUCCUCGGCCCACCGUCGGAGCUGCGGGAACACUGACGAGUCACUGCCUCUCCGCCGUUGCCUCCAUAGCGUUCUCGAACGUCGAUGAAGCCCGUCAUCGUUCAUCUGGUAGCUCCGACACUGCCCUUGGUCCCGUUGAUGUCGAGCGAUCUAUUUCUCCCCAGCGAGAGCUUGUUUUUCAGAAUACAAGAAGAGACCUGAUUUCAAGAGACAGAGCUACUUAUGGACGACAUUGGACUGACAUGGACUUCGCUGCUUGGAGCUGCUGAUGCGGUGCCUCUUCUGCUGUCGGCCUAUUUUUACAGGGGAGUGUCCUUCAACAUCGUCAAAAGUGAGAGUCUCACAGGUUCUCUCUCUCUCGACAACGGAGAUAUUUCUCUCAUUCUCUCUGAUUGCUCUAAAACCGUGAGGUGAUUCUUCAGUAAACUUAACCUUGAUUGAGAAGUGGGUUGGAUAUGGAUGUGUUCAUACACACCGCGAAUGGUUCAUGUGUACUGCAGAUCUGGUCAUUUCUUCAAGCGAUUAUAACAUUGAUAAAUAUGCAAAGAAGUUUCGCAUCAAUGACUCUGAUGGACAAAAAAUUGAUCUGUGUGGUAUUUCUUGUGACCUUUUCUUCUUUCUAUUUGCUGAUUUGAGUUAAGCAGAAAUACUACACUUAUGUUAAGAUGUUACUAGUCCGGAAACAAAGGCUACACUUGAAUAGCAGAAAAUUCAUCUCUCUAGUUGAAGAGGAUUAUGGAAUCAGAUGCUGCAAUAUGAAAGGAUCUAGUUGCUUGUAACAUUGUACCAUUGAAUCUCCAUCUUUAACAAGUUAAAGUCGUUCUUUCACACCCAGAUACUACUUGGAUUACCAAAGCUCCCUAAUACCUUCUUUGUGCCAGCAACAAGGACUGCAGAUAUUUUGCACUAUGUAUUCGGGUUUCAGGUUGGUCUUUGAUGAGAUUACAAUAAUUUCAGUUUAUUUCGUUACAAGAUUUAGUUUCUACCAAAUUUUCUCUUAGAGAUUGGUGCAGUAACGAAACUGGCUGACAUUUUUUGCAAGUAUCACAGCAUCAGCAUGAAGUUGGCUUCAAUAUUAUUGACAACAAAAAAAGAAUGGUUACUACAUAGAUAUUGUGAUAUUAUUUGUGCAUGUCUUUGUGCUAUGUGUGUGUGUAUGUUACUUCAAACUAAUAUUGCAAACUUAUAUUGCUACUAUAGUUACUUGAAGCUAUUCUCCACCUUUCGCAUGAGUGUAUGUGUAUCUGUAGAAUAAGUUCCAAACAUAAUUUCAGCAGAAAAUUUGGCAAAAAUUUGUUUCUUUAAAAAAGAAAGAGAUGAGGGCUAGAGACAGAGAGAGCUAGCUAGUGCAACCUUGGGUUAGGUGGUUGUGCAAAAGAUUUCUUCACAUUGAUAUCCUCAUUUGCCAAAUGCAAACAGUUAAACUUUGGUCUUCAUUUCCAUGAGGGGAAAACUGAUAGUUUUAUCAGUCAAAACCACUCUAAAACCCUUCAAAUAAAGCAGUGGUUUGUGACGUACUUAAAGAGAUCCUAUUUGUAGAAUCUGUAAGACAUGCAGUCUUCAGAAAUUCGGUCAAGAGUUGGGCUGGUGAAUACCAUCAAAUUUUCCUUUUUCUUUUUUACAUGAGCUGUUCAAAAUUUUGAUUCUUUAUGCUUUUUCAAGAAUAACACCGUGGAUCAAUUUCCUGGUUUCUUCUUUACUCAGUUAUAUGUUGGCGAAUGCACUGACAAAUUCUGAAUAUGGAUCUCAUUUUAAUGUAUGACUCUUGAAACUUUAGUCGGUGAAUUUUAGGACCCUUGUUGGUUUCUGCAGCGAGAGAUGUCAACAAAUGUGUUAUGGAUGUUAAGUUGUAUUCAACAUUGAAUGUUCAGUUCGUCAAAUUGAGAAUCAUGGAAGUUUAAC
Molecule: long non-coding RNA, 2566 nt
Organism: Nymphaea colorata (pocket water lily)
Lineage: Eukaryota; Viridiplantae; Streptophyta; Magnoliopsida; Nymphaeales; Nymphaeaceae
Exons: 4
Source: RefSeq, a predicted model, not a curated record